RNAcentral lists this ribosomal RNA (301 nucleotides) under uncultured bacterium. Its description in RNAcentral is "partial 16S ribosomal RNA". It matches the Rfam family "Bacterial small subunit ribosomal RNA", at positions 509 to 807 of the family's 1533-position model. The record is from RNAcentral.
CAGCAGCCGCGGGAAUACGGAGGGAGCUAGCGUUAUUCGGAAUUACUGGGCGUAAAGCGCACGUAGGCGGCUUUGUAAGUUAGAGGUGAAAGCCUGGAGCUCAACUCCAGAAUUGCCUUUAAGACUGCAUCGCUUGAAUCCAGGAGAGGUGAGUGGAAUUCCGAGUGUAGAGGUGAAAUUCGUAGAUAUUCGGAAGAACACCAGUGGCGAAGGCGGCUCACUGGACUGGUAUUGACGCUGAGGUGCGAAAGCGUGGGGAGCAAACAGGAUUAGAUACCCCCGUAGUCCCUGUCUCUUAUAC